This 407-nucleotide ribosomal RNA is filed under the name uncultured prokaryote. Its description in RNAcentral is "bacterial SSU rRNA". It matches the Rfam family "Bacterial small subunit ribosomal RNA", at positions 355 to 776 of the family's 1533-position model. RNAcentral also lists the same sequence under 1 other name. The record is from RNAcentral.
UGGGGAAUAUUGGGCAAUGGGCGAAAGCCUGACCCAGCGACGCCGCGUGAAGGAAGAAGAUCUUCGGAUUGUAAACUUCUGUCAACAGGGACGAAGAAAGUGACGGUACCUGUGGAGGAAGCCACGGCUAACUACGUGCCAGCAGCCGCGGUAAUACGUAGGUGGCGAGCGUUAUCCGGAUUUACUGGGCGUAAAGGGUGUGUAGGCGGGCAAACAAGUCAGAUGUGAAAUGCUACGGCUCAACUGUGGCACUGCAUUUGAAACUGUAUGUCUUGAGAGUGGGAGAGGUAAGCGGAAUUCCCGGUGUAGCGGUGAAAUGCGUAGAGAUCGGGAGGAACACCAGUGGCGAAGGCGGCUUACUGGACCACAACUGACGCUGAGACACGAAAGCGUGGUGAGCAAACAGG